RNAcentral lists this ribosomal RNA (254 nucleotides) under uncultured bacterium. Its description in RNAcentral is "partial 16S ribosomal RNA". It matches the Rfam family "Bacterial small subunit ribosomal RNA", at positions 524 to 776 of the family's 1533-position model. The record is from RNAcentral.
UACGUAAGGGGCAAACGUUAUCCGGAAUUAUUGGGCGUAAAGCGUCUGUAGGUGGCGUAAUAAGUCUGUCAUUAAAUACCGGUGCUUAACAUCGGUGCUGUGAUAGAAACUGUUGCUGCUAGAGGAUGGGAGAGGCAUAUGGAAUUGUGCAAGUAGGGGUAAAAUCCGUAGAUAUGCACAGGAACACCAAAAGCGAAGGCAGUAUGCUGGACCAUUCCUGACACUAAAGGACGAAAGCGUGGGGAGCGAAACGG